CCCCCCUUGGAAAAAGCAACGAGAUGACAGGAAUGGAGGGAAGCGGGGAAGCGCCUCAAGGCUGGACAUGAUGGCAGUAAUGCCUGUGUGCGUCGGACAACUGGCGAAGAAGGUGAUUUCAAUUUAAAACAAAAAAAACACCCCGUUUGAGGAAGAUGGAGAGGGACACGACGCGAUCACGUUACGGAACUAACUGUUCCGACCCGGCAGUUCAGAACAAGGACGUAGGGACGAAGCACACACGUCAGCGAGCGCGUCUUCAUUUCCCCAUGUGUUGCAAGUACAAGGAGUUCCCUCUUGAAAUUAAAUGGAAGGCUGUGCGGGGCUCCAGUGCAUCUAAGGACGAAUUUAUAAUCAGAAAGGAAGGGCGGUUUGCCUCAAGACUCCUGCAAGCGGGCGGGGUGACGGUAUUACCGUUGCUCUGUCACUGGCAUCCUGUGUGUAUCGUGCGAAUGCCAGGGCAGUAACACAGAUGAGACGUUACGCAGUGAGUUCCAUUUGAAAAUGUAAUUUUAUGUACUGUGGAUCGCAGUGUGAAUUCCAGAGCAAAUAGCGAGAGCGCGCCCUUUGUUUCUGUCCGUUUCCAAAAUAGUUACCGGAGUGGUUUGCAGUGGUGGCGGGACCUAAGCGCACCUUUGGUGAGCCGCUUUGAUGGAGUUGUCAGAAACAGGAGCCUUGGCGUGCUCCUCCGGUGUGACUGCGGUGCUGAGAAAUGAAAAGCAAAAAGAAAUUGUUGUGGCACAUUGUUGAAGAGCCCAGGCAGGAAAUUGGUUUUAAAAUACGUCACAUACCAGCUUUCAGGUGUCGUGUUGUAUGGAAUCGGACUGAAUGAGGUGUGACGUCCACUGUGUGUGUGUCUGCGUGUGAGAUCCAAACUGGAAGAGAGUGCAUUUCUUGUAGAAACAGAAGAAGCACAUGUAGUGGAAGUAUAUCUCUAUUCUCAGGUGAGGACACAUUUACACGUAUUCAUUUAGCAGACGCUUUUCUCCAAAGCGAUGUACAUCUCAUAGAAAAUGCAAUGUGUUCAUAGAAAAUGCAAUGUGUUCAUUACAUUAGAAGAAAGACAUAGCUGCAGAUGUGUGACUUAAGUACAGUUAGUUUCCUUCACUAUAUGUACCAACAUUCAUCACACAAGUAGCUGCAUAAAACUUUACCAGAAUAUCGUCACCUUCCUAGCCUAGUCUUUUUUUUUAUAUAUAUAUCACUGGAUGUUUCAGGUGAACUAAGCUGGCUGAGAUGCUAAGGCACUGUAGAUUUAUAGAAAGAAAAUAUUUAACUUAGAAACUAUGUAUAUAUGAUAUUUAUUUUUUUUUGUAUUGCCAAAGUUGUUCAUCUGCAGGGACUUUCAGAUUUUAUACUUUACUGAAACAGAUUUGGCCAAGUACCUUACUAAAAAUCCUUGAAAAAGCCGCCUCCACAUAAUAAGUUUGUUUCCUUAGCUACGGUACCUGUUCUAACAAUAAUGUGUCUGUGAACCGCGAACGCCUGCUCGCAAUUACAAGUAACUAUUCUCAGAGUGUGUGGUGUUUAAAAAGUCCAUGAAAAUCACACUCUGUUUAUUCGUCGCACUGGAUGAAGACACUCAACACCAGUGUUUACGAAGGGAGAACUCCAGACAAAGGGUGGACGUACAGGGAAGGGAGCCAUUAUCUGUCCUCUCUAGUAAUAAGGUCAUUUAAUACUCCAUCCAGAAUCCAAGUUUUGAGUCACAGCCCCUUAGUCAAAGCCAUGGCGUACACACUCCCACACACAUAAACACACACGGUGUCACAGAUAGGUGGAUAUUAAAUCAGUCAUGUGAUAUCACUGGAAUAUAUCAUGUUGGGUAAGUCAAAAGUCUUGCCUUGUUCGCUCCAGCUGCCAGGGACAAUGUCUUCUUCUAAAGUAAAUAAAAAGCAAGUUGUUCAUUAUUCCA
Long non-coding RNA from Scleropages formosus (Asian bonytongue), 1915 nucleotides. The record is from Ensembl. Lineage: Eukaryota; Metazoa; Chordata; Actinopteri; Osteoglossiformes; Osteoglossidae.